UUAUUUGAAACAUUGAACCAAACUAUAAUUACAUUAAUUAUAUAUAUUUUUUGGUCGAAAUUAUAUAUAAAUAUUUAACUUAAUUAUUAUAUUAAAUGAAAACAGUUUUUAAUGGAUUAAUUUUGGCCUUUGAUUGAUUUCAAUCCAAUGGCCACAAAUAUGUUUGGUUUAUCUUUUUCCUUUUUUCUCAUUGGUCAAUAUCUUAAACACAAGGAUAGCAAUCUUGACCACUGAGUAUUUUUGAUCCUAUGGCUAGAAAUCACACAUCUAAUAUCUCAGUCUCUUUCUUCCUUCCUUGUCUCACGUUAUCUCUCUUUUUUUUUGUUACAGAUCUAAAUCUGAUCUCAUCUAAAUCUUUUUUAAUUCUUUGGAUCUCUAUCUUCCUCAACCACCACCACCACCACCACACGAUGACCACCACACGACCACCCGUUUGUUUUCGCCGUCCCAGCAUCACAACCACCACCACACGACCGUUCGUUCGCCAUCCCAGCAUCACCACCACCGCACAACCACGGGAUGGAGGAAGCAAGGCAAGGCAGGUAUGGCGGAUGGAGGAGGAAGAUGACGGCUUCAGAUUCAGGAAGAGGAAGCUGACGGCGAGUUGGUGAGGAGGCGACGAGAUUAGGUCUAGAUGGAUGUGACGUUUGCCUCCUCUCUGCAAUUUGCCUCUCAAAUCCCAGGAUGAAGAAGAAGAAUAAUGGCUGAUGAAGGUCAUGGAAAAACACGAAGACGAAGGUGGUGGUGCGGCCGGUAGAUGAAGAAGACAACGAAGUGGUGGUGUGUUUGGUUAGUAAUUAGGUUAAAGCCUGGUUUAGUUUUUGGUUUAUUUAGUUUGUUGGUUUAUUAUUUAAUUAGAUUUUUUUUUUGUAUUUUUGUAAACCAAUUUAAUUAUAGAUAAAUUUAAGUAAUAAAGAAAAUUUGAUUC
Long non-coding RNA from Brassica napus (rape), 928 nucleotides. RefSeq lists it as uncharacterized. The transcript is spliced from 2 exons. Lineage: Eukaryota; Viridiplantae; Streptophyta; Magnoliopsida; Brassicales; Brassicaceae. The record is from RefSeq and is a predicted model, not a curated record.